Molecule: ribosomal RNA, 497 nt
Filed under: uncultured bacterium
Lineage: Bacteria
Description: partial 16S ribosomal RNA
Rfam family: Bacterial small subunit ribosomal RNA
Source: RNAcentral
GACGAACGCUGGCGGCGUGCCUAAUACAUGCAAGUAGAACGCUGAAGAGAGGAGCUUACUCUUCUUGGAUGAGUUGCGAACGGGUGAGUAACGCGUAGGUAACCUGCCUUGUAGCGGGGGAUAACUAUUGGAAACCGUAGCUAAUACCGGAUAAUAUAGUUAACCACAUGGUUUUAUUUUGAAAGGGGGAUUUGCUCUCCUUUAUAAUGGACUUCGGUUGUCUUUGCUAGUUGGUGAGGUAAUGGCCCACCUAGGGGACGGUACAUAACCGGCCUGAGAGGGUGGUCGGCCCAACUGGGAACGGGACACCGCCCAGGCUCCUAAGGGGAGCAGCAGGAGGGGAACUUCGGCAAAGGGGGGAACGCUGACCGGGCCACGCCGGGUGGGUGGAGAAGGGUUUCGGAUCGUAAAGAUCUGUUGUAAGUCAAGAACGGGUGUGGGAGUGGAAUGUGCACGCUGUGACGGUAGCUUACCAGAAAGGGACGGCUAACUACGUG